ACAGGGCCUAGAUGUCUUGGAAAAUUCGAAAAUAUCGGAUGGAAAAACUGCUAAAUGCAGCAACGGUAAUCGAACAAUGAAAAAACUUAAUAAUGGAAUGGAGAUAAUGGAUACAGAGAUAACCCUUCUGUCAACGGAGAUGAUUCAGGGAUCAAGGUCUGAAAGUGACGCAGCGAACGAUUAUUUCACGAGACACCCUCUCAUGCGC
This is a long non-coding RNA of Saccostrea echinata, 208 nucleotides long. RefSeq lists it as uncharacterized. The transcript is spliced from 3 exons. NCBI's taxonomy places the organism in Eukaryota, Metazoa, Mollusca, Bivalvia, Ostreida, Ostreidae. The record is from RefSeq and is a predicted model, not a curated record.